Molecule: transfer RNA, 56 nt
Filed under: Dipodomys ordii (Ord's kangaroo rat)
Lineage: Eukaryota; Metazoa; Chordata; Mammalia; Rodentia; Heteromyidae
Rfam family: tRNA
About the family: Transfer RNA (tRNA) molecules are approximately 80 nucleotides in length.
Source: Rfam by way of RNAcentral
UGGCUCAGUGGUAGAGCGCUUGCCUUGCAUGCAUGAGGCUGUGGGUUUGAUUCCUC